Molecule: long non-coding RNA, 226 nt
Organism: Lathyrus oleraceus (garden pea)
Lineage: Eukaryota; Viridiplantae; Streptophyta; Magnoliopsida; Fabales; Fabaceae
Exons: 2
Source: RefSeq, a predicted model, not a curated record
UCUUGUUGCGUUUGGUGUUUACCUCGUCGCUGAGCAAGUUUACAACAAGGCCAAUGCUUCUUCCUCUUCUCACCAUGUGAAGGCUGGGGAGCACUGAGGAAAAUCACAAUUCAUCAUUUUCCUUGUUUUGUUUGUUUAAGUUGUUGUUAAAUAAGGUUACUUUGCAGGGAUUUCCCUUCAAUGUAAUUUGCUUAGGAGAAAUUUUAGACUCUGUAUAAUGAAUGUA